This 494-nucleotide ribosomal RNA is filed under the name uncultured bacterium. Its description in RNAcentral is "bacterial SSU rRNA". It matches the Rfam family "Bacterial small subunit ribosomal RNA", at positions 903 to 1397 of the family's 1533-position model. The record is from RNAcentral.
AAAUGAAUAGACGGGGGCCCGCACAAGCGGUGGAGCAUGUGGUUUAAUUCGAUGCAACGCGAAGAACCUUACCUACUCUUGACAUCCAGAGAACUUAGCAGAGAUGCUUUGGUGCCUUCGGGAACUCUGAGACAGGUGCUGCAUGGCUGUCGUCAGCUCGUGUUGUGAAAUGUUGGGUUAAGUCCCGCAACGAGCGCAACCCUUAUCCUUUGUUGCCAGCGGUUAGGCCGGGAACUCAAAGGAGACUGCCAGUGAUAAACUGGAGGAAGGUGGGGAUGACGUCAAGUCAUCAUGGCCCUUACGAGUAGGGCUACACACGUGCUACAAUGGCAUAUACAAAGAGAAGCGACCUCGCGAGAGCAAGCGGACCUCAUAAAGUAUGUCGUAGUCCGGAUUGGAGUCUGCAACUCGACUCCAUGAAGUCGGAAUCGCUAGUAAUCGUGGAUCAGAAUGCCACGGUGAAUACGUUCCCGGGCCUUGUACACACCGCCCGU